This 258-nucleotide long non-coding RNA is filed under the name Triticum aestivum (bread wheat). RNAcentral's name for it is "long non-coding RNA (TAES_LNC000630)". The record is from RNAcentral. Lineage: Eukaryota; Viridiplantae; Streptophyta; Magnoliopsida; Poales; Poaceae.
AAAAAAUGUAAUAGACGAGUGACCCAGCCAAUAAAAUCUUCAGCCGCGAGCUCUAGCCUUCUAGGUGCUCCGUCUGCAGUGCCUUCGCAACUCCGCCGAAAUAUAGCACGGUGCUUCGUCUGCAGUGCCUUUGCAACUCCGCCCAAAUAUAGCACGGUGCUCCGAGCAGGGCCCCGAAACAGCUAAAUGGACGAGGUUCUGUAGACAGCAAACGCCAUGAGCGCCGGUAUGAAGUAGAAGAGCACCGGAGAAUGGAGC